This is a long non-coding RNA of Triticum dicoccoides, 1637 nucleotides long. RefSeq lists it as uncharacterized. Lineage: Eukaryota; Viridiplantae; Streptophyta; Magnoliopsida; Poales; Poaceae. The transcript is spliced from 2 exons. The record is from RefSeq and is a predicted model, not a curated record.
AAAAAAAACGGAUCGUAGCAAGCGCCGCCGCUCCUCCCGAUCGCCCUGAGUCGACCCCGCCUCCGGUCGCCGCCCACGCACCUGCAAGCCGCCGCCGACGUCCUCUGCCAGUCAGCCGCACUCAGCAUCCUCCUCCUCCCUUCUCUCUCCCUCUCCUCACUAAUCUCUCUCUCUCUCCGUUCCCGCACUAUAGGGCUCCACCGGACCGUCCCACACGACUGCCGGCCUCCUCCCGACCAGACCAACGAUGGCGACGACCGGAUCUGACCGGCCCCCUCCGUUUCCGCCUCGCCUAGCCGCAACACUCAUCCGCCCCACCUCUCCCAGCCAGCCCCGCCGCCCCCUCCCUGUCGAGCCCCCUGGUGGUGGACGGUGACAUCUCACCUGGACUAGAUUGGAGAGUUGCAUCCAAUCAGGCCUCCCUCCUCUCCACUAAGUGCAUCUGAUUCUGAACACAGAGUUAUUCACGAUGCUGAUUAGUUUGCUUGUGGAUGUGCUAUUUUUACGCAGGUAAUUUUCAAUUCUCUGACACAAGCCAUUUGUGUGAGCGCUAAUUAACUUAUAUGGUAAGACUCUAUGGGAGGCUCCGACAAUAAAACUAUUUUAGAAGACACGGCAAUAUUUUACUAUAUGAAGUGAAAAUGUACAAGUUGUAGAUGGACAACUAUGGCAGCUCUUCUAUACAGUUAUUUACUGUCCAGCGAGGCCCUCAAAGGAUAUCUAAAGAAGUGAGAAUGUACACCUUGUUUUUCUAGGCGAACAUGACUAGGAUGAGUCAGUAGCAUAGUAGUCAUAGUUAUCUAAAAAAGGAAGUGUCCCAGGCAACAAGAUAAAUUGUUCUGAUGUCCAAUGCAUUGAAGCUAUAAUGCAUAUAUGCUUAGUAAAUUGUUUAGAUUUGUCUGAGACUAAUAAUGACCAACUUAGUGAAUUGUUAAACCUGAAAUUUUGUGUUUUCCAUUUAACACAGUGAAUUGUUUGCACAAUUCAGUUCCGUGUUGAUUGAAUGGACGUGACAUGAUGUUUUCUCCAUGUAACGGACUGAAGUGGAUUGACAUGGCUUCUGUCCAUCAUGCAGUUAUGUGCUUUUCUUCCUUGUUGCAGUGUUGCGCAUCUUUGCUGUGACUCCAUGAGUAUGAAAGCUAUAUUUACUCCUAAGCUAUGAGUGUCCUCUAACUUCCUUCCAUGAGAGGUAUUUGCUCUCAGUCCCUGCCAUCCUUAUUACGAGGGAUGCAACAAGGUUCAAUGGAUCAUGACGUUUGGACUAGAUUUGAAUCUGUAUCUACCAAAUCUAUGCGUACAUUUUUAUGCUAUAAAUUUCUUUUUCUUUCAGUAUCCUAUUGAAGUUCUAUCAGCCGACAGGUGCAUUGCACUGUUGAGGAGACACAUGCAUUUGUAUUCGAUAUUGAAGCGAGCCUGACACCCUGAAAGAACUAUACAAUGAUAUUUGGCUAUUGCUUUCAGUAUUAGAGAAGCAUAGAAACAGAACUGCAUGGCUUACUGUAUUUUUAUGUGGCAGUCCUCUAUGCCAUCAUGCCAUACUAUUUAUUUUGAGCAACCUUUCUAUGGUAUUUUGUUGGACAAUUUUUAGUGUAAUCUCAAGCACCUCAAUAUAUGGUAAACAACUGCAUGCUUGGGUA